Pygocentrus nattereri (red-bellied piranha) is the source of this 1164-nucleotide long non-coding RNA. RefSeq lists it as uncharacterized. The transcript is spliced from 3 exons. Lineage: Eukaryota; Metazoa; Chordata; Actinopteri; Characiformes; Serrasalmidae. The record is from RefSeq and is a predicted model, not a curated record.
CUCUCUCAGAGGCUGUGCGGGGAGCUGCUCCUCUGCUCGCGCUCUGCCAGGCGCCCCUCGCGCCGAGAGAGCUGCGGCAGACACACGCAUGCUCUCUCUCUCUCUCCGUAAGGCACACAAGCUUGCACGCUCCUGUGUUCGGACUCUGGCUGUGGGGACUUAACAAAGGCUGGAGCUUCCCUUAAUGCUCCCGGAGAAAGAUGUUUUUCUUAGUCGCUCCAACAGACAGGAAUCUACUUGCAGAGAAGAAAGCCCUCGCUCUCCCCCAGGAGUGGAGUACAAAGGCCGGUCUGCACACAGCAGAUGCAAAAAGCAAGUCCAUCUGCUACCAGCUCCCUCUACCACAUGGACUUGGGGAGAUUGAAGAGAGUGAGGCUUGUCUGGCUGGGUGUGUGUGAACACACAACUGGAAAAGGAGUGAGGGAGCCAGCUGUUUAUGAACGGGGCUUUGGACUACCAAGGUCAAUGAGGACAAACAAUCCCAGCAGCACUUGAGCAGUGGCAGAAGAAAGCGUGCGGCUGGUGGGUGGGUGGGGGGACGGGGUGCCGCGCGCAUGGUGGUCACCGCCAUGCCGGUGGAGCUUUCCGUCUCCAAGCGAUGGCAUAAUUUCCAUAGCAACCCCCUCUAACGAUUCAUUUUCAAUUAAAGCAGACACAAAAACGUGCUGCCCCGAGCCAGCAGACAGUGUCAAGAGCCCAUCUCCAUCUUCCUCACUCCUUCAUGUGGGGGUGAUGUAGCCUCCCUUAGCCCAAUGCCACCAGCCUGUCUUACAGUAACAAUCACACAGCCCUGUUUAAACCAAUAACUCAGAGCACAAAUCAUAUGCACACCAGUGUAGAAACCAAUGGUGUAUUAACAAUCACCAUAGAGUUAAUGGUAUAGCAUACAUUGUGAAACGUGGAUGAAUGGACGAUUCUUGAGCACGGCAAGGCCACGCGACUUAGCUUGUGUGCAGUCAUUGAGAAUUUGAUGCGUUUCAGGCCUUGCAGAAUUGCCACAAGCAUUAAAGCUGUUCUCUCUGGUUGAAGAGUUAUCCACUUGAGUUCAUCUCCACCUCCAUUCUCCCUUCCCCCCUUAUGUCCGAGCCAUGCAGUAUGCACACGGUACUUGUAAACACUGCCCUAAUAAACUCACAGCAUGUUGCUGUCUGUCUCCCGUCCAUA